RNAcentral lists this ribosomal RNA (503 nucleotides) under uncultured bacterium. RNAcentral describes it as "bacterial SSU rRNA". It matches the Rfam family "Bacterial small subunit ribosomal RNA", at positions 15 to 518 of the family's 1533-position model. The record is from RNAcentral.
GAUCAUGGCUCAGGAUGAACGCUGGCGGCGUGCUUAACACAUGCAAGUCGAACGAAGCAACUUAUUACGAUCCCUUCGGGGUGACGAUUGUGACUGAGUGGCGGACGGGUGAGUAACGCGUGGGUAACCUGCCUUGUACAGGGGGACAACAGUUGGAAACGACUGCUAAUACCGCAUAAGCGCACAGCUUCGCAUGAAGCAGUGUGAAAAAGUUUUUCGGUACAAGAUGGACCCGCGUCUGAUUAGCUAGUUGGUGAGGUAACGGCCCACCAAGGCGACGAUCAGUAGCCGACCUGAGAGGGUGACCGGCCACAUUGGGACUGAGACACGGCCCAAACUCCUACGGGAGGCAGCAGUGGGGAAUAUUGCACAAUGGGCGAAAGCCUGAUGCAGCCGACGCCGCGUGAGCGAAGAAGUAUUUCGGUAUGUAAAGCUCUAUCAGCAGGGAAGAUAAUGACGGUACCUGACUAAGAAGCACCGGCUAAAUACGUGCCAGCAGCCGC